CUAACAUAUAGUAAUUGUUCAAAGAAUGUGCCUGUUAGAUAACUAGUAAGGAAACAGAAGGUAAGAAGUGACAUAUUAUUAGGUUUCAACUUAAAUGAGUUGCAUUUAAGACAUACUUCUAUUACAACUAAAUUCAAAAUAAGAAAAAGGAGAGAAGGAGCAGGAAUGAAGACUGAGAAAGGCAGUGAGUACACAGAGAAAAAAAGAAAAAAGAAUCAUUUGUACCCAGGAGAGUUUGCAAACUUCAAGCCACAAAUGAGCAGGGUUUUCAAAAUGUGAGAAAGAUUUGUGAGUUUCAAGUUGCAAAGAUGAAUGAAGGGAAGAGUAAAACUUUCCCAACCUUCCUGACUUUUUCAGAGUUGAAAAAGAAUUUAGGAGUAACAACCUGAUCCCACAAAGAUAAGUUCAUUUACCAUAAAUGAUUAGGCAUAUAUACAAUUUAGUGACAGGCAACAUGUUGCUACACCCUAGGACAAAAAUGUAGGACAGAAACAGCAAAUGGAAAAGUAGAAAGGAAUAUGAAUGGAUACUGAGCAUUCCCCAAAUCCACAGGUAUCUAAAAUUAACUUUGAAAGAAAUUACAGGAAAAAAAUUGACACUGGAACUCUGGAACUUUAAGAAAUCAUCUUUACGGGACCACAUUCAAAAACCUUAUUCUGACUCAGCAGAUUUUGGCUUCUACAUGUCCAUUACAUUCUAAAUUGAUUCCAAUGAUUCUGGUCUACAGACAACAUGAUUUUCUAUACAUGAACAGCUAUUGGUUCAUACAGUAGAGGACACAAACAGACUAAGUGCAAAUAUAAACCUUGCUUUAUUCUGAGCAUGUAUCUUGAGAACUAGGAGGGACUCCAAAGUCUUAGAUGAAGAAUUUGUAUUACUAAAAUAAAUUUGUUACAUUGGCAGGCAAGAAGGAGUGGCAAAAAUUCAUACAUAGAAUGUAAAAUGGAAGAGCUAGGAAGAAAGGAAAAUGAGGGAAGUACAAAGAAUUUACAUAAGAAAUAUGAGGAAAUGGAGAGCAUGUUACUCCGCUCUUUUCAGUUUGUCUGCUUUCAAAUUAUAUCUGGUGUAGAGACAAUUGAAACUAGUGGGGAUUCAAAGAUUCAGGACAACAUACAGCUACCAAUUUCUCUUCUCUGUAUCUAGUAGGCACCACAAUAUAUGGGGCAUCCAUGUGUGUUACUCGGGUGAACAACAUUACAUUUUUGAAGAAUUUGUUGUUUUAAAGAAGGCUAAUAUUUCUAUUCAUAUUGAUCUUAUUAUUAUCCUUAAUAUGUUUGUUUUCAUCAUUAUUUUAUUGUUGUUAGGUUGAAAAACCAAUUCCAUGGCAUGCCAGGAAUGCAUGACAUUACUGAGAUAAAUUCUGAAAUCUAGAGUGCCAAUGUUGUGAUGAACCAGAACUUUUGUGCAAAUACUUUCCUCAAAUAUCAACACUGUUACUCUGAAUGUAUUUACCAAUUUCUUUAAAACACAAUAGUUUAUUAAUAUCUGAUAAUUCUGCAAGCUUUCAGAACAGUUUUCCUUUUGGAUUGUCUUGUCUGAACUCUUUAUGCUUUAUAAUAAAUACAUUGUCUGCAUAGUUGUGGGACCACUAUAUUCACACAAGAGAGGAAAAAUAAAGUUAAUGUUGGUUAAAACAGAUGAUGAAGGUAAUAAAGAGGCACCAGUUUCCCACAUGGGUAUGAAUCACAUAUCUAUGUAUAUUAGCUGUUAUUGUAAACACUAUAUCUGAGCUAAUUAGGUAAGAAAACUCUCAGAUGAGCAAAAAAUAUAGCUUCCCCCAGAAUCUCAACACAAUAUCGAACUUGUUAAUUAUAAGGUAAAUGAAGGACAGGAAACAUAUUUAGAAUAAAAUGGAUUCAAUGAUUCUGAUAUAAUUCACUCAAGAUAUCUGCUGCCAUAUUUCCAAUUCAGCUUUGACAUUGAACUUCUAAAGGUCCUUCUUACCUCCUCUGAAUAAGGAUCACUGUGCUCUCCAGCAUUAUGCAUCUUGAAUUGUUGAAUAUAUUAAUGUUUUUGUAUAAAUGGUCAUUGCAAAAUUGAUUUUACCUUUGAAAACUUAAAUAAAAAUUUUUCUAAACACAUA
Molecule: long non-coding RNA, 2083 nt
Filed under: Marmota monax (woodchuck)
Lineage: Eukaryota; Metazoa; Chordata; Mammalia; Rodentia; Sciuridae
Source: RNAcentral